GCCAUGGCCACGGCGCAGCAGGCCUCCGGCGUGCGCGCCACCUACAACUUCUACAACCCGCAGCAGAACAACUGGGACCUCAACGCCGUGAGCGCGUACUGCGCGACGUGGGACGCCAGCAAGCCGCUGUCGUGGCGCAUGAAGUACGGCUGGACGGCCUUCUGCGGGCCCGCCGGCCCCACCGGCCAGGCCGCGUGCGGGCAGUGUCUUCUGGUGAGCUCAAGCUAGCUGAUGAAAUGAAACCAUGCAUGAGUGAUGAGACCCGUGCUCGAUCGGGGUUAAUAAUGGUGUACUGAUGCAUGAUGCAGGUGACUAACACUGCGACGGGGGCGUCCAUCACGGUGAGGAUCGUGGACCAGUGCAGCAACGGCGGCCUGGACCUGGACUACGACACGGCGUUCAAGCCCAUCGACACCAACGGCCAGGGCUUCCAGGCCGGCCACCUCACAGUCAACUACCAGUUCGUCAACUGCGGCGACAACUGAACUGAUAGAUUAUUCACCUGUGCAUGCACCUAUA
RNAcentral lists this long non-coding RNA (519 nucleotides) under Zea mays. Its description in RNAcentral is "long non-coding RNA (ZMAY_LNC002164)". Lineage: Eukaryota; Viridiplantae; Streptophyta; Magnoliopsida; Poales; Poaceae. The record is from RNAcentral.